RNAcentral lists this ribosomal RNA (1167 nucleotides) under Triticum aestivum (bread wheat). RNAcentral describes it as "partial small subunit ribosomal RNA". The record is from RNAcentral. Lineage: Eukaryota; Viridiplantae; Streptophyta; Magnoliopsida; Poales; Poaceae.
AUGGCGUGCUAUCCAUGCAAUCGCUACCCACACCUCCCACCUGGAACCACCAUCGUCCCGCUAGGUCCCCUCCGUGAGCAACAUGGAUACGUCGGUGGCGGCGGUGAACUCCCGAUGGCCUGUGAUGAGUGGGCCAUUGCCACUCUUGAGCCGGGCAUCGAUCCGGAGGAAUUUUAUGGACCCAAUGCCAUGAUCAUCAACUACUUGGAGAACAGAGGAUGGAGGAUCAGCUACACCCCCAGAUGUGGUAUGGGAUUUGUACUUGUUCAGUUCACCACAGCAUGCUCUCGUGAUACUGCGGUCAGUCAUAGCCCCUUUCAGAUUGGUGAUACUAUGCUUAGAAUCUCUAGACAGGACCGUGGCAUUAAUUACAAAAGCAUUACCUUUACGCAUGAUGUCUGGAUGUUGUUGAUGAACUACCCAUUAGAAUGAUGGGAUGUCAAUGUUAUCAGUUGUACGUUUGCUCCAUAUGGCCUCUUUCUAAUUUGGAACAAAGAUCCUAGAGAUAAGACUAGAAUCAUAGUCAAAGUCGGAGUUAUGAAUGCUGAUACGCAUCCACUUAGUAUUGUUGUACUUCGCAACCUUGAUGAUGUGGGUUUUCGAGACUCCUAGACCUGCCCAGCAUAUAUACUAUCUAGUGAGCUUAUUGGGCAAUAGGGAGGUGAUGAAGAUCCACUGCCCCCCAAUGGUGGAAACCCACAUCCUCUGCCCCAUGUACAUGCAGGUUUCUGGCAUGAUGAAGUACUUGGCCAUAUUCUAGUAGAGCAAGUUGUGAUGAACCCACAUAAUGAGGGCCUAGGGGCACCUUAUGAAGAUGUCCAUAUUAGGGUUGAGCAAAUCAACAACAAUGUUGCGGUAGGGAUGGAAGCACAUCAAGCUGCAAACACCCCAAAUGAUGCACCAGCAGCCAUGCAAGACCCUGAUCAUGUUGAUGGAACUAAAGUGAAUAGUGUGGAUCCUGUAGCUCAUAACACACCUGUGUUAUCAAACAACAAUGAUGUUCAGCACCAAGUGACUGACAAUUUCAUCCCUGUGGAAAGCCUUGUUUUCUCUCCCAAUAACAUCAACAUGAAUUACAAUGACCAAAGUGUAGCAAAGCAGGUUCCCAACAAUCUAGCUCAUGAGGGAUCAUCAGAGGGGGUUUAUGAGGACAUAUCUGCUCUAUAG